UAGGAGCUGCCCAUGGGCGGGAAAAUUCUAGCUAGUAAACCUCUUAAAUGUGCUCGUCAUUCUUUAUUUUAGGUCAGUCAAGGAGCUCCCGGCGGAGAUAGCGAUCAGGUAUUUCUCUCUCGAUCACUGUAGCUACAGCCGAUCGAUCGAUCGGGCGCGCCGCGCUCCGGCCGCUCCAGCGAUGCCGAAUUCCAGGAAGAAAAUGGAGGGCCAGAAUCUCAUUUUCUACGCUUCCAUCGCUCAGGGGACCAAUAUUCUAGCCGAGUGCCUCGACGACGAUCCCGGAUUUGCAGCCGCCAUGGCGGAAUCUCUGGCUUCGCUCCCGCCGAUGCACAAGACCGUCACAUUUGCCGCGAACAAUCGCCUGGCGUGCUACCUCAUCCAGCCCCCGCUGACGUAUUGUGGGGUCUUUGACGAAGUCUUUGGGAAGGAGCACGGGUUUACGUUCUUGGGCCAAAUCCAGAGCGAUUUUAGACGGCUACUGCUUCUCCGGGGCCUCCAGGAAGAUCGAGACGAGCUCCAAAACUAUCACUUGGAUCGUGACGUCUUGCCAGUGAUGAGAAAUGCGAUCAACGACGCUACCGGGAGGCAGUGUUACGAAGGCUUUUCGGAUCAAUCUUUCGACGAUAGUGUGCCUUUGAUGGGCAAGGGGCGGUUGGAGAGGAGGAUGUCCGGUGACUCUACGCAAGCGCAGUUCUCGUCGUCGUGCUCGCCGCUCGCCAGGGGCAAGUCGAGCAAGCACAAGCAGUACGAGCUCCGGGAGGUGGUGAUGGAGCGGUGCGACAAGUCCGAUGGCCCAGCGCAGGCAAUGGAAACCUCCUCGGGUGGCAAGAGUGUGGGGAACUCGAGGAUGAGAGCUCAGUGGCAAAGAAUGCGGUGCUGUUGCAGCAUGAAGUUUAUACUCGCGAUCGAUGCUGUCGUGUGCGUGGUCUUGCUCUCGGUCUGGCUGGCAGUUUGUAGAGGUUUUCGGUGCUAGAUCGUGACUAAAGGUAUCGUUUUCACCAUCAAUCUAGCUAACGAUUUUUGUGUAUACGGUGUAUCAUACAGGCUGUGGGGCAAUCAAUGAAUGCAAGUGAUAGACCAUGUGAAGUUCAUUCAAGCUCCUCAUUAGUCUUCUGUUCGGCAGUCUCCACGCAGCAGGAAGGUUAUGUUACAAGUGAUCACCAGCAGGAAUAGCAAUAGCAACAGCAGCAGAACGAUAGAGAGAGGAAAGAAUAGAAAGUUCUCUCAAGUCCCCAGAGCGAGAGCUCUAUGCCGGUUCAUGUCAGUAUGAUAUUCAUUGCUCGUG
Selaginella moellendorffii is the source of this 1288-nucleotide RNA transcript. It is a transcript of the gene named phytolongin Phyl1.1, with no coding region annotated. NCBI's taxonomy places the organism in Eukaryota, Viridiplantae, Streptophyta, Lycopodiopsida, Selaginellales, Selaginellaceae. The record is from RefSeq and is a predicted model, not a curated record. The transcript has 2 exons.